Molecule: ribosomal RNA, 500 nt
Filed under: uncultured bacterium
Lineage: Bacteria
Description: partial 16S ribosomal RNA
Rfam family: Bacterial small subunit ribosomal RNA
Source: RNAcentral
AUUGAACGCUGGCGGCAUGCCUUACACAUGCAAGUCGAACGGCAGCACGGGAGCAAUCCUGGUGGCGAGUGGCGAACGGGUGAGUAAUAUAUCGGAACGUGCCCAGUCGUGGGGGAUAACGUAGCGAAAGCUACGCUAAUACCGCAUACGAUCUAUGGAUGAAAGCGGGGGCUCGCAAGACCUCGCGCGAUUGGAGCGGCCGAUAUCAGAUUAGGUAGUUGGUGAGGUAAAGGCCCACCAAGCCGACGAUCUGUAGCUGGUCUGAGAGGACGACCAGCCACACUGGGACUGAGACACGGCCCAGACUCCUACGGGAGGCAGCAGUGGGGAAUUUUGGACAAUGGGCGCAAGCCUGAUCCAGCAAUGCCGCGUGCAGGAUGAAGGCCUUCGGGUUGUAAACUGCUUUUGUACGGAACGAAACGGUGAGCUCUAAUACAGUUUGCUAAUGACGGUACCGUAAGAAUAAGCACCGGCUAACUACGUACCAGCCGCCGCAGUAA